This 119-nucleotide ribosomal RNA is filed under the name Pteropus alecto (black flying fox). The record is from RNAcentral. Lineage: Eukaryota; Metazoa; Chordata; Mammalia; Chiroptera; Pteropodidae.
GUCUACGGCCAUGCUACGCUGAACCAACCCGAUCCUGUCUGAUCUCGGAGGCUAAGCAGGGUCAGACCUGGUUAGUACUGGGAUGGGAGACUACCUAGGAAGACUAGGUGCUGUAAGUU